Molecule: long non-coding RNA, 4051 nt
Organism: Bubalus bubalis (water buffalo)
Lineage: Eukaryota; Metazoa; Chordata; Mammalia; Artiodactyla; Bovidae
Exons: 2
Source: RefSeq, a predicted model, not a curated record
CUGGCGGGCUACAGCCCAUGGGAUCACAAAGAAUCAGACACGACUGAGCAACUAAACCACCACCAAGCAUAAUUUUAGUUUCUGUCAGAUUUUACUGGCUUGUGAGAAGAGGAAGGCUAAUCCUCGUUCUAAUGAGCUUAGCGCCCAGCUGGACAGUCAGAGAUAAACACAGGAAGCAAUCCAUCCCAGGCAUGGCUCAGGGCUGUCAUGCGCCCAGGCCCUCCCGGAUUUGGAGCUCAGAGGGUGGGAGGCGCGGGCCGCGGCCCCCGUGGACACAGCACACACCAGAUGGGGAUGCUUCCCAGCUCAGGUCAAAGGGCCCCUGACUCCCACGGGCUCCCACCACGCUGGGGGCGGACGUCAUUCUGGUCCUAGGAGGAGGGGCUUUGCAACUCCGCGUGUCCCGAUCCGGCCCGGGUCUCUGCCAGGGCAUCAAGUUGGCAUCCCCUCACUUUGGACCGACUCCCACUGUGACGGCGAGGCGGCCACAGCCUUAAGGGGCCCCUUGCACACUCACGUCCAGAAAGAACGUGAGGAGUCUGGAGCCCCAAGGAAUCCUGAGGGGCAGCUGCAAGGCAGUGAGGGUCCUGUUGGAGGGAUGGACAGGCUGGCGGUCACCGGAGCUGGGGGACGUCGGCGCCCAGGGGCCAGGCAGGAGGGGGUCAAGGAAGGGGGCCCGGAGUUGUGCCGGCGCCCUGCGGCCCCCAGGCAGGAGGGGGCGCCCCGGAGCUGGAGCUCGUCCUGGCAGCAGAGGGAUGGGCCCCUGGGCCCUCCUCCAGGCUGGGGGCUUGGCUUGUGGGAGCCCCCCACCCACCCCGAAGGUGUGAAGAAAGCAGCUCUGCAGAAGGUACUGCUGGGCUCAGGUGCAGAGCGUGGGGGCCGUGCAGGGGAGGGGGCUGCAGGGGCACCAGGGAGGAAGGGCACCCCCUUCCCCACCCAGCCCAUCUCUCCCCAGACCCCCUCGGGCCACCUGGACAGACGGGGCUGACCUGGUACUUACACCCCAGGUCAAGGUCCCCACCCCGACCCCAGGGACGAGCUGGCCUGACUGACACAGGAACCAACAGGCUGAGGCCCCCUCCUGAUGGAAGCGGGUCUGAAAACUCUGCUCUGUGGGGAAGUAGCCAGCCCCCUGCCCCAUCCACCUGACCUCCAGACAUCCCCUUCCUUCCCAGUAUGGGGGACAUUGCUGGGUCUACGGCAAGGUGAACAGGAGCUGCACCCACAUGACCCACGGGGCCAGAGGUGGGCUCCUGUCUGCCUGGGUCUUCCCCACCCACGGGCUGGGCUCCCUGGGUGCAUCCUGGCAAAAAUGGUCCCCUCACGGCGUCAUAGCAACCCUGGAGCAGGACAUGGGACGGUGCGGGGAAGUGAGCUGGAGCUGGUUGUCACGGGGAGUUGCUGACUGUUGCUAACAGCUUGCCAGGUGAGCCGUCAACCCUGCGCCUGGCAAACGGGGAAGAGGAAAGCAGAGAAACCAGCCAGGCGGUGGAGAGAGGGCCUGUCAGAGCUGGGUCUCUGUCUCUCGUGUCCCUGAGGAGCGAUGGAGAGAUCUGAUUCAUAGGCUGCCACCGUGGGCGUGUGCAGACUACCCUGACCCCUCAUUAGAAGUCUGCUCUGUUGAAUGAUAUCCCAGGACUGUUAAUUCCGGGAGCUUGAAAACCACUUAAGGAGUGUCUUCAGAAUAAAAUUAAGGGCUUGUACCCACAGGAAGAUUCUGGGCCACACUGACACAAGAUUCCACCCUGUUGCCAAGGAAUGUUUGCAUUUUCGGAGGUAUCUUCCAAGGAGAAAUCACAUUUUACAGCAAGAGGGAAGAAUGGAGGACAGAAUCCAUAAGACAUUUCAACUUUUCUGUGAUUCCCUGUUAACUUUCCUAGAAAAAUAAAAUCAAUACAGGAAGCAUAUGCAUGAAAGUAGCCCAUAGAUUAAUGCAUAAGAUGAUAUCCAGGUUGGCCAGCAAGAAGCUAACUGCCCAAGCAAUGCUCCAGAAGUGUGGGGAAGGCAUCUCGGUGGAUGAACCACAGACUCUGCUUUUAACAAAUCACCUCCACUCCAGCCAUGGAACGCUUCCAGACUCUACAGGCAUGUACCUGCAGAAGAGGGGCGGGUGAGGCGAGAUCACGUUCACUCCAACCACGGAAGCACUUCUGGUGUCUACAGGAGUGAGGAGGGUGAGGUGAGCGACGCUGAAGGUAGGUGGUCAUGAAUUCUAGACUUCGCUCAUCGUCAGGUGAUGGGAGCCCCGCUUAAGAGGUUUAGCAUCAGAAUAAACAAACAGCUUGGUUUAAGUGAAGGACAAUGUCAUCGAGGGCGUCUCCUGAGACGGAUUCUCUCAUGUCAGUGAUGUGCUGCUUUGGUGGGAUGUGUGUGGCUGAGGCUUUGCUUUACUCUUACUAUUUAUGAAUUUUAUUUUCACGGGAGGGUCAAGCCUGCCACGUCUGUGAAGACGCUUCCUCCUCCUGCCUCCGUCACUGCCUGCAGGAAGUGGCCAUCACGCUGCAUUUCCUUGUGAAAAGGGGACGAAAGGUCAACGCUCACUAAGAGGUCAUCUUCCUAGGUUGGGCUCAGAGUCUGCAGGUACCAUAGGUGUCCUGUGGGUACCAGAGACCAGCAUCAGGAGUGUGGACAAGACCCCCAGGCACGAGCCACACGGGAGGAAGUAUAACUUCCCUCAAGUAUCUUACUUCACCCCAACACAACUGUGUGAUGUAGCUUUGUUAGUUUUGCCAAGGAAGUCUAUUUCACGGUCCCACGGGGAUGCUCGAGUCGGUUCAGGGCUCGCCUGACCCCACCUACGUGAGAGGUGGACCCAAGACGCCGUGCUCUCCUGCUUCUAACCUGCCUCCUCCUUCUCAGCCUUCUGUACCCAGGGCCUGACUGAAGCCCCGAGACCUCAGCCCACAGACCUGCAGGCCCUGAGCUUACCCUAAUAAAACGCCUUUGGCAUCACACACGGAACCGCAGGCAACAAGGAACCUUCUGUAUGUCGUCGCCAAUGGAGUCUCUCUGAACGUCCGUGUUUUCCAUGAGUGAUCAGUCAGCACCAGGCUGUUUACACCUAGUGGAACAGUGGAAUGAAAGUUCCCAAACCCCGAGAGGCCAGCAGGGGAGAUCCCAGGAUGCACUGACUUUCUCUCAUUUCUCCUUAGUCAUGCAAAUAGCUGCAACCUUUCCUAUUUUGCAAAUAUGUUAAAAAUCACUACUACCAUCAUCCCCUUUCAAAUAUAUUUCAAAAUACUAUUAUGCUGUUUGCGCAGAGAAAGAAGAGCCACUAAGACUCAGCAAACACUAGGUUUAAAGUGCUUUUGGCCUCAACAGAAGGACGGCGCUGGCUUUGUCGGGCUGGGGUGCAGGGGCUCCUAGACCAGUCAGGGCCCUGAAACGCUGGGACCCAGGUCUUGUUCGUUUGCCGACAGCUGUGACUGACGGGCACUGGGGAGAGGACCGCCCCCUCUCACAGGCCCCGCCCUCCCGGAGGUGGGUGGAGCUAAGUGCCCAAGCCCCGCCCCCCGGAGCUUGCAGUGGGUGGAGUGCACGUUCUCCUGAGAACAAGUGAGGCGGCCCCUGGGCUCCGGGUUCCUGUGAGGUCAGAUCACACGUGCACACACAGGAGUGGGGGUCUCACAGAGGCAGGAGCAGAGGAAGGGGGGCCACACCCGCGUCCAUUCAGCAGGGACCACGCUCCCCAGGCGUCCCAGCCAGCAGGUGGGCAUCCUGUUCCCCAACAUCGCUCCGGGUCACAAAGCCAUCGAGUUUCUUCCAAAAGGCCUGAGCGCUUCCUGCUGGGCUGGGAACCUUGUUUCCCGACCCCCACCCACAAGGCCGAGUGUGGCCCUGAGCGUGGUGCUGAGCGCAGGGCCCAUGGGACGAACAUGCUCUGAAGACCACAUGCUUUCUGUCUCCGUGGGACACAUUCUUUCUAGAACGAGCAGGCAUUUGCUGCUUUGGAAAUCAUCUUCUGUGAGAUAAAUCUGUUGGCUAAAAUGCCCAAGAUUCUCAAGUGCUCAAGUCUUCAUUUCUGCUUUAAUUAAAUGACAGGGAGUCCGUG